GCAUAUCAAUAAGCGGAGGAAAAGAAACCAACCGGGAUUGCCUUAGUAACGGCGAGUGAAGCGGCAAAAGCUCAAAUUUGAAAUCUGGUACCUUUGGUGCCCGAGUUGUAAUUUGGAGAGGGCAACUUUGGGACCGUUCCUUGUCUAUGUUCCUUGGAACAGGACGUCAUAGAGGGUGAGAAUCCCGUGUGGCGAGGAGUGCGGUUCUAUGUAAAGUGCCUUCGAAGAGUCGAGUUGUUUGGGAAUGCAGCUCUAAGUGGGUGGUAAAUUCCAUCUAAAGCUAAAUAUUGGCGAGAGACCGAUAGCGAACAAGUACAGUGAUGGAAAGAUGAAAAGAACUUUGAAAAGAGAGUGAAAAAGUACGUGAAAUUGUUGAAAGGGAAGGGCAUUUGAUCAGACAUGGUGUUUUGCGCCCUCUGCUCCUUGUGGGUGGGGGAAUCUCGCAGUUCACUGGGCCAGCAUCAGUUUUGGUGGCAGGAUAAAUCCGUAGGAAUGUAACUUGCUUCGGGAAGUAUUAUAGCCUAUGGGAAUACUGCCAACUGGGACUGAGGACUGCGACGUAAGUCAAGGAUGCUGGCAUAAUGGUUAUAUGCCGCCCGUCUUGAAACACGGACCACGGAGUCUAACGUCUAUGCAAGUGUUUGGGUGUAAAACCCAUACGCGUAAUGAAAGUGAACGUAGGUUGGGGCCUCGCAAGAGGUGCACAAUCGACCGAUCCUGAUGUCUUCGGAUGGAUUUGAGUAAGAGCAUAGCUGUUGGGACCCGAAAGAUGGUGAACUAUGCCUGAAUAGGGUGAAGCCAGAGGAAACUCUGGUGGAGGCUCGUAGCGGUUCUGACGUGCAAAUCGAUCGUCGAAUUUGGGUAUAGGGGCGAAAGACUAAUCGAACCAUCUAGUAGCUGGUUCCUGCCGAGU
This 913-nucleotide ribosomal RNA is filed under the name Saccharomyces eubayanus x Saccharomyces uvarum. Its description in RNAcentral is "LSU rRNA". It matches the Rfam family "Eukaryotic large subunit ribosomal RNA", at positions 38 to 966 of the family's 3401-position model. The record is from RNAcentral. Lineage: Eukaryota; Fungi; Ascomycota; Saccharomycetes; Saccharomycetales; Saccharomycetaceae.